This 253-nucleotide ribosomal RNA is filed under the name uncultured bacterium. Its description in RNAcentral is "partial 16S ribosomal RNA". It matches the Rfam family "Bacterial small subunit ribosomal RNA", at positions 524 to 776 of the family's 1533-position model. The record is from RNAcentral.
UACGUAGGGUGCAAGCGUUGUCCGGAAUUAUUGGGCGUAAAGAGCUCGUAGGCGGUCUGUCGCGUCGGCUGUGAAAACUCGGGGCUCAACCCCGAGCCUGCAGUCGAUACGGGCAGACUAGAGUGCUGUAGGGGAGACUGGAAUUCCUGGUGUAGCGGUGAAAUGCGCAGAUAUCAGGAGGAACACCAGCAGCGAAGGCGGCGCUCUGGGCUGGAACUGACGCUGAGGAGCGAAAGCGUGGGGAGCGAACAGG